GCGGAUGUAGCCAAGUGGAUCAAGGCAGUGGAUUGUGAAUCUACCAUGCGCGGGUUCAAUUCCCGUCAAUCGCC
This 74-nucleotide transfer RNA is filed under the name Zingiber officinale. It matches the Rfam family "tRNA". Rfam says of the family: Transfer RNA (tRNA) molecules are approximately 80 nucleotides in length. Their secondary structure includes four short double-helical elements and three loops (D, anti-codon, and T loops). The record is from Rfam by way of RNAcentral. Lineage: Eukaryota; Viridiplantae; Streptophyta; Magnoliopsida; Zingiberales; Zingiberaceae.